GGCAACCCUGACGGAGCAACGCCGCGUGGGGGAGGAAUGUCUGUGGAUUGUAAACCCCUUUUCUCAGGGAAGAAGCUCUGACGGUACCUGAGGAAUCAGCAUCGGCUAACUCCGUGCCAGCAGCCGCGGUAAUACGGGGGAUGCAAGCGUUAUCCGGAAUUAUUGGGCGUAAAGCGUUCGUAGGCGGUUUUAUAAGUCUGCUGUCAAAGUGCGGAGCUCAACUCCGUAAGAGCAGUGGAAACUGGGAGACUUGAGUGUGGUAGGGGUAGAGGGAAUUCCCAGUGUAGCGGUGAAAUGCGUAGAUAUUGGGAAGAACACCGGUGGCGAAAGCGCUCUACUGGGCCAUAACUGACGCUGAGGGACGAAAGCUAGGGGAGCG
Molecule: ribosomal RNA, 379 nt
Filed under: uncultured cyanobacterium
Lineage: Bacteria; Bacillati; Cyanobacteriota
Description: bacterial SSU rRNA
Rfam family: Bacterial small subunit ribosomal RNA
Source: RNAcentral